Molecule: long non-coding RNA, 736 nt
Organism: Magallana angulata
Lineage: Eukaryota; Metazoa; Mollusca; Bivalvia; Ostreida; Ostreidae
Exons: 4
Source: RefSeq, a predicted model, not a curated record
UCCAUUGUUCAGCCGCCUCAGCUUUGGAAGAUGAUGGUGGCAGGGCGGCGGGGUCAUUUUGCCCCAUAUUGAUGCUGUCGGACAGUCGGUAGCCAUCUGAUUCAUCACGAUGGACAUUCUUCUAUAUAAUGAAGGCACUAAUUAUAUACAAAUAUAUUCAGAGGUCUGAAUGUCAUUCACUCCCUGUAACGCCAGCAUCUGCAGCAUGAUGUCAUCAAUUGAGCUGGUGACAGCAUCCAUGACAUUGAACUCAUGGGACUCAAGAUUCUAAUGCAGUUAGUUUUUCCUCCUCUGAGACAGCGCCUAUCACAUUACAUCUUAGAGAUUCACAUUUUGGACAAACAUCAGUUCGGGGAGAGGCAAUUUUGAUUCUUUCCGUUUCCUGGGCAUGAGGACGUAUACCCAUGGAUGCUGUUUCAUCUCGUCCCUGGAUCUCGCAAAGAAGUGAAUGGAUAAGAGCUGGACAAAAGGUUUGGAAACAACCUUGAAAGUUCCAUUGACGAACCAUGACCUUGCUGAAUUUAGGUGCUCCAGUUUUAGGUCUGAUGCAAAUAUUUCUAUUGACAAAGUACUGGGUUCCAUGAAGUCCUAUUCAAUCUUAAAAAGUGUGAUUUUUUUAACAUUAGAAAAAAUAAUAUGAAAUGCACAAUAUUUUUUCUUCAAUUUCUUGUAAAGAUAAAAUCGCUUUGAAGUUCAUUUCAUGUCUUUGGGCUCCUCUUGCUGAUAUUCCUCCCUC